GACGAACGCUGGCGGCGUGCUUAACACAUGCAAGUCGAACGGAAAGGCCCUGCUUUUGUGGGGUGCUCGAGUGGCGAACGGGUGAGUAACACGUGAGUAACCUGCCCUUGACUUUGGGAUAACUUCAGGAAACUGGGGCUAAUACCGGAUAGGAGCUCCUGCUGCAUGGUGGGGGUUGGAAAGUUUCGGCGGUUGGGGAUGGACUCGCGGCUUAUCAGCUUGUUGGUGGGGUAGUGGCUUACCAAGGCUUUGACGGGUAGCCGGCCUGGGAGGGUGACCGGCCACAUUGGGACUGAGAGACGGCCCAGACGCCUACGGGAGGCAGCAGUGGGGAAUAUUGCACAAUGGGCGGAAGUCUGAUGCAGCGACGCCGCGGGCGGGAUGACGGUCUGCGGGGUGUAAAACGCUUUCGCCUGUGACGAAGCGUGAGUGACGGUAAUGGGUAAAGAAGCACCGGCUAACUACGUG
This 468-nucleotide ribosomal RNA is filed under the name uncultured bacterium. RNAcentral describes it as "partial 16S ribosomal RNA". It matches the Rfam family "Bacterial small subunit ribosomal RNA", at positions 28 to 507 of the family's 1533-position model. The record is from RNAcentral.